AUGAACGCUGGCGGCGUGCUUAACACAUGCAAGUCGAACGGAAAGGCCAGUGCUUGCACUGGUGCUCGAGUGGCGAACGGGUGAGUAACACGUGGGUGAUCUGCCCUGCACUUUGGGAUAAGCCUGGGAAACUGGGUCUAAUACCAGAUAGGACCAUGCUUUGGAUGGUGUGGUGGAAAGUUUUUUCGGUGUGGGAUGAGCUUGCGGCCUAUCAGCUUGUUGGGGGGGUAAUGGCCUACCAAGGCGUCGACGGGUAGCCGGCCUGGGAGGGUGUACGGCCACAUUGGGACUGAGAUACGGCCCAGACUCCUACGGGGGGCAGCAGUGGGGAAUAUUGCACAAUGGGCGCAAGCCUGAUGCAGCGACGCCGCGUGGGGGAUGACGGCCUUCGGGUUGUAAACUCCUUUCGCAACUGACGAAGCUUUUUGUGACGGUAGGUUGAGAAGAAGCACCGGCUAACUACGUG
This 466-nucleotide ribosomal RNA is filed under the name uncultured bacterium. Its description in RNAcentral is "partial 16S ribosomal RNA". It matches the Rfam family "Bacterial small subunit ribosomal RNA", at positions 29 to 507 of the family's 1533-position model. The record is from RNAcentral.